AUACGUAGGUGGCAAGCGUUGUCCGGAUUUAGUUGGGCGUAAAGCGGGCGCUAGGCGGUUUUUUAAGUCUGAUGUGAAAGCCUUCGGCUCAACCGAAGAAGUGCAUCGGAAACUGGGAAACUUGAGUGCAGAAGAGGACAGUGGAACUCCAUGUGUAGCGGUGAAAUGCGUAGAUAUAUGGAAGAACACCAGUGGCGAAGGCGGCUGUCUGGUCUGUAACUGACGCUGAGGCUCGAAAGUAUGGGUAGC
Molecule: ribosomal RNA, 249 nt
Filed under: uncultured bacterium
Lineage: Bacteria
Description: partial 16S ribosomal RNA
Rfam family: Bacterial small subunit ribosomal RNA
Source: RNAcentral